UAAGGGAUAUUGGUCAAUGGGGCGGGGAGCCUGAACCAGCCAUGCCGCGUGAGGGAAUGAGGCCCUACGGGUCGUAAACCUCUUUUGCCGGGGGAUAACGGGCGCCACGUGUGGCGCCGUGAAGGUACCCGGAGAAUAAGCAUCGGCUAACUCCGUGCCAGCAGCCGCGGUAAUACGGAGGAUGCGAGCGUUAUCCGGAUUUAUUGGGUUUAAAGGGUGCGCAGGCGGGCGUCUAAGUCAGCGGUGAAAGUUUCCCGGCUCAACCGGGUCAGUGCCGAUGAUACUGGGGCUCGAAAGUGCGGGUAUCAAACAGGAUUAGAUA
RNAcentral lists this ribosomal RNA (322 nucleotides) under uncultured Bacteroides sp. RNAcentral's name for it is "bacterial SSU rRNA". It matches the Rfam family "Bacterial small subunit ribosomal RNA", at positions 355 to 784 of the family's 1533-position model. Lineage: Bacteria; Pseudomonadati; Bacteroidota; Bacteroidia; Bacteroidales; Bacteroidaceae. The record is from RNAcentral.